AGAGGCCCUGUGAGGUCCUGCGAGGCCCUGCGUGUUGGCUCCUAUCUCCUCUCUGAGCUCACCUCUCCCACUCACCGCCUUGCCCUCUGCCCCCUUGCCCAGCCACACUGGCCUCCCUGCUACGUGACAGGCUCCUACUCUAGCUUUUGGACCCUACUGCACCCCUCCCACCCCAGGGACCUCUGCCCCUCCUCUUGGGGUCAGCUGGGCAGCCUGCCCUGUACUCCCUAACCCCCUCCAACCCCAGGAGUGGGGCUUCUUGAUGCCAGCCUCCAAGCCCUUUAUCACGUGUCCAUGGGCAGUGUUCUGAGGUGUCAGCCCUAGAAAGGUUGGCUGGAUCUGGGUGCACUGUGGUGCCCCAGUGCCUGGAACAGUGUUGGCUGCCUGGAACAGUAUUGGUGCACAAUAUGCAGUAGGCAUUCAAUUAGUGCUUGCUGAAUGAGGGAGCCUCAGCGUUUUAAAAUCAGACCUUGAAAACGUUGCAAAGUUCUUAGAAUCCCAGGCUUGAAGAAUUGGAGACUGGGAGGCAGUGAGGCUGGAUGGAGUCCCGCUCUGUUGCCCAUGCUGGAGUGCAGUGUCGCGAUCUGGGUUCGCUGCAACCUCCGCCUCCCAGGUUCAAGUGAUUCUCCUGCCUCAGCCUCCUGAGUAGCUACGAUUACAGAGUAGAAAACUGAGGCUCUGAGAGAUGAAGCUACUUGCCAAGGUCACGCAGCACAGUCACAUCCUACUGAACAUCAUCCUGUUCUCUGGGUGUUUCUAGAAUCACCUCCCAAAUAUCCCACUUGCACCCAAAACCUUGUCUUGGGUCAGCUUCUGGGAGCCGACCUAAGCCAGCAGCUAUAAUGCUCAGGGCUUAAGAGCUUUGGAAUCAGAUGGACCUGAGUGUGAAUCCCGCCCCUGCCACUUAACCUGAGUGUGAACUUGGGAGCCUGCCCCACCUCUCGGAACCUCAGUUCCUCCAUCUAUGAAAAGGGAACUUACGUGCAGAAAACCAAGUGACUAUGAGGGGGAUGGGGCAGUGUGAGAUGACGGGACCAGAGCACGUUCCUGGCUGCAGAGGCCACAAGUCACGCUGUCUCUGAGAGUGGAAUGUCACCAUCGCCCAGGUGGGGAUUUUUGUGUGUUUUGUUCACUGCUGUACACCCAGCCCCCAGCACAGCGCCUGUCCAGGACAAGUGCCCAGUAAACACUUGGGAAGCAAUGCAAGCGUGCGUGCAUGGAUAAGUAUUUCUUUGGCAGAUGAGGGGGCUAAGGUUCAGAGAAGGCCCUGGGGGUCUCAGACUCAUAGCCCAGUGCUCUUUCUGCUGACACGCCCUGGUCUCUGGGGCAGUUUGUUGCCUGUUCAGCAACAAAGAGGGUGUGCCUCGUUAGGGGUCCUGCGUGCGAAUCGCAGUCCCUGCGUGUCUUGGCUGGAGGUCACCACCCUCUCUGCUCCAGGGCCUGUAAUUACCACUUACCCUGGUCAAUGGGUCCGAGAGAUUACCCUUGUAGGCAGGGCUGUGGCCAGGGUGCUCACCUGGCCCCCAGCAGGUCCCAUGGGCACUGUCUGGCCGGGCUUCAUGGCUGACAUUCCAGGUCCUCCCAGCAGCUCCUGCAAACAGACCCCCGACCCAAGCCCUUCCUUCUGCCUCCACUGCCACCACUGCUGCUCAUCUCUGCUGGCACAGAAGUCUCUUCCCUGGUCUUCCAGAAAUCCCCUCUCCACACUCAGCCAGAGGGAGCUAUUAAAACUGUGGGCCAGCCCACAUCAGUCCACAGCAAAGUCCUCUCUAAGGGAUCUCUGUUGCUUGGAGAAUAAACCCUCGGAUUCCUUCCUUGGC
Homo sapiens (human) is the source of this 1820-nucleotide long non-coding RNA. Ensembl annotates it as plaque enriched lncRNA in atherosclerotic and inflammatory bowel macrophage regulation. Its record names the gene PELATON. Lineage: Eukaryota; Metazoa; Chordata; Mammalia; Primates; Hominidae. The record is from Ensembl.